CUUUAUUGGAGAGUUUGAUCCUGGCUCAGGAUGAACGCUGGCGGCGUGCCUAAUACAUGCAAGUCGAGCGAACCGAUUAAGAGCUUGCUCUUAUGAAGUUAGCGGCGGACGGGUGAGUAACACGUGGGUAACCUGCCCAUAAGACUGGGAUAACUCCGGGAAACCGGGGCUAAUACCGGAUAA
RNAcentral lists this ribosomal RNA (183 nucleotides) under Bacillus sp. 166amftsu. Its description in RNAcentral is "16S rRNA. Bacterial SSU". It matches the Rfam family "Bacterial small subunit ribosomal RNA", at positions 1 to 176 of the family's 1533-position model. Lineage: Bacteria; Bacillati; Bacillota; Bacilli; Caryophanales; Bacillaceae. The record is from RNAcentral.